AUUGAACGCUGGAGGCAUGCUUUACACAUGCAAGUCGAACGGUAACAGGGUGCUUGCACCGCUGACGAGUGGCGAACGGGUGAGUAAUGCGUCGGAACGUGCCGAGUAGUGGGGGAUAACGCAGCGAAAGUUGUGCUAAUACCGCAUACGUACUGAGGUAGAAAGUGGGGGACCUUCGGGCCUCACGCUAUUCGAGCGGCCGAUGUCUGAUUAGCUAGUAGGUGAGGUAAAGGCUCACCUAGGCGACGAUCAGUAGCGGGUCUGAGAGGAUGAUCCGCCACACUGGGACUGGGACACGGCCCAGACUCCUACGGGAGGCAGCAGUGGGGAAUUUUGGACAAUGGGCGAAAGCCUGAUCCAGCCAUGCCGCGUGUCUGAAGAAGGCCUUCGGGUUGUAAAGGACUUUUGUCAGGGAGGAAAUCCCUAGUGCUAAUAACACUGGGGGAUGACAGUACCUGAAGAAUAAGCACCGGCUAACUACGUGCCAGCCGCCGCCGUAA
Molecule: ribosomal RNA, 500 nt
Filed under: uncultured bacterium
Lineage: Bacteria
Description: partial 16S ribosomal RNA
Rfam family: Bacterial small subunit ribosomal RNA
Source: RNAcentral